UUAGGAAACGACUGACUUAACUACCGCAUGAUGCAGUAGGGUCGCAUGUAUUUCUUAUGACCAAAGAUUUUAUCGCUUCAAGAUGGCCUCGCGUCUGAUUAGCUAGUUGGCGGGUAACGGCCCACCAAGGCGACGAUCAGUAGCCGGACUGAGAGGUUGAACGGCCACAUUGGGACUGAGAUACGGCCCAGACUCCUACGGGAGGCAGCAGUGGGGAAUAUUGGGCAAUGGGCGCAAGCCUGACCCAGCAACGCCGCGUGAAGGAAGAAGGCUUUCGGGUUGUAAACUUCUUUUAAGAGGGAAGAGCAGAAGACGGUACCUCUAGAAUAAGCCACGGCUAACUACGUG
RNAcentral lists this ribosomal RNA (348 nucleotides) under uncultured bacterium. RNAcentral describes it as "bacterial SSU rRNA". It matches the Rfam family "Bacterial small subunit ribosomal RNA", at positions 149 to 507 of the family's 1533-position model. The record is from RNAcentral.